CCGCAAAGCCCCCGGCAGAGCCGAGGGGAGGCUUCAUUGGCGACCUGGUGGGGCCUCGCGGCCCUGCUCCCUGACGUCAGCGCCGCCGCGGUGAUUUAACAGCUUUUGUUUUGGGCAGAAGAACCUAUGGGCACAAAAAGCAGGAACGAGUAGCGGUGGCUGAAGAACGAGCAGGAGCUUGAAUUUCAGUUUUCUUAUGAGGAAUUUUCCAGAAAAGAUAUCUUCACUGUGAAAUAACUAAAUAAAUGCCCACUCAGUACACUUUCCCUGCACUCCAAACACAGAGCUGAGACUUCCACCUAAUGUAGAAAGCUAGCACGAGCCGGCGCUGACAGAUGGAAGACUUGAGAUGUUACAAGAUUAUAUAUGGAAACACAAAAGGAGUGGAGUUGCUGGGUCAUAUGGCAAUUCAUUUGAGGAACUGAGAAGCUUAUUCCAUGGAGGCUGAACUGUUUUAUAUUCCCACCAGCAACGUGUAAGGUUCCAGUUUAUCUACAUCAUCACCAACACUUGCUAUUUUCCAUUUCAUUAAUGAUAGCCAUCCUAGUGGAUUUGAAGUGGUACCUUAUUAUCGUGGUUUUGAUUGCAUUCUCUAUUGACUAAUGAUAUCGAGCAUCUUUUCAUGUAUUUUUUGGUCAUUUGGUCAUUUUUCUUUUUUAAUUUUAAAAUUUUGAGACAGGCUCUCACUAUGUUGCCCAGGUGGUCUCAAACUCCUGGGUUCCAGCGAUGCUCAUGCCUCAGUCUCCCAAAGGGGUGGGAUUACAGGUGUGAGCCACUUUGCCCAGCCCAUUUGUAUAUCUCCUUUGGAGAAUAUCUAGGUUCUUUUGAAGGUAGCUGCAUAUAAACUAGCCAAAUUAACAGACUGUGGUUUUUAGAUGGCUUUCCAUAUCUACAAGAACUAUUUAGUUCUCAAAACUGGGAAGAAAUGUUUCAGAGGCAUCAUUAAUUCAUAAUCUAAAAAUUUAUCUUGGGUUUCCUUUUUUCCCCCAGAUUCUGUAUCCUCCAUAGUCCUAUUCAUGACAUGGGUCGUUCAUCUCUGUAUUCUAAACCCUCAAUGAACUGUAGACAGUAAUAAAUAUUUAUUGGAUGAA
This is a long non-coding RNA of Homo sapiens (human), 1091 nucleotides long. Ensembl annotates it as cholesterol induced regulator of metabolism RNA. Its record names the gene CHROMR. The record is from Ensembl. Lineage: Eukaryota; Metazoa; Chordata; Mammalia; Primates; Hominidae.